RNAcentral lists this unclassified non-coding RNA (336 nucleotides) under soil metagenome. RNAcentral's name for it is "partial contains 5.8S ribosomal RNA, internal transcribed spacer 2, and large subunit ribosomal RNA". The stretch from base 1 to 120 matches the Rfam family "5.8S ribosomal RNA", at positions 35 to 154 of the family's 154-position model. The record is from RNAcentral.
GAUGAAGAACGUAGCGAAAUGCGAUAAGUAAUGUGAAUUGCAGAAUUCAGUGAAUCAUCGAAUCUUUGAACGCACAUUGCGCCCCUUGGUAUUCCAUGGGGCAUGCCUGUUCGAGCGUCAUUUGUACCCUCAAGCUUUGCUUGGUGUUGGGUGUUUGUCCUCUCCUUUGCGUUUGGACUCGCCUUAAAGCAAUUGGCAGCCAGUGUUUUGGUAUUGAAGCGCAGCACAAUUUGCGAUUCUAACCGACUACACUUGCGUCCAUAAGCCUUUUUUAACUUUUGACCUCGGAUCAGGUAGGGAUACCCGCUGAACUUAAGCAUAUCAAUAAGCGGAGGA